CCUACGGGUGGCAGCAGUUAGGAAUAUUCGGCAAUGGGGGAAACCCUGACCGAGCAAUGCCGCGUGUGAGAUGAAGGCCCUAUGGGUUGUAAAUCACUUUUAUUUGGGAAGAACUGUAAGUAGAGGAAAUGAUACUUACUUGACGGUACCUUUUGAAUAAGCCCCGGCUAACUACGUGCCAGCAGCCGCGGUAAUACGUAGGGGGCGAGCGUUAUCCGGGUUUAUUGGGCGUAAAGCGUGCGUAGGCGGUUUGUUAAGUCCAGAAUUAAAGCCCGAGGCUUAACCUCGGUUCGUUCUGGAAACUGGCAGACUAGAGUACAGUUGAGGUAGGCGGAAUUCGUGGUGUAGCGGUGAAAUGCUUAGAUAUCACGAAGAACUCCGAUUGCGAAGGCAGCUUACUAAACUGCCACUGACAUUGAUGCUCGAAAGUGUGGGUAUCAAACAGGAUUAGAUACCCUUGUAGUC
RNAcentral lists this ribosomal RNA (465 nucleotides) under uncultured bacterium. RNAcentral's name for it is "partial 16S ribosomal RNA". It matches the Rfam family "Bacterial small subunit ribosomal RNA", at positions 338 to 795 of the family's 1533-position model. The record is from RNAcentral.